This is a non-coding RNA of Rattus norvegicus (Norway rat), 1011 nucleotides long. Lineage: Eukaryota; Metazoa; Chordata; Mammalia; Rodentia; Muridae. The record is from RefSeq and is a predicted model, not a curated record.
AUGAUGACCACUACACUACAGUCCUAGUUUUACACAUUCAUUCAAAAUUUAUUUAGUAAAUGACAGGAUGUUGACAUUCUUUAUAUAUGUGUAUUAUCAUAGGAUAGCUAAAAGUCAAAGUAAUUACAAUGGCUGUCUCCCUCCAUCACUAACCAUUGGUAACUCCACUCUACUCUGUUAGGCCAACUGAAAACUCUGAUUGAAAACUGUAAGCAAAGUGUUGUGGAAUUUGUCCCUCUGUGGCUGGUCUACCUCACUUAACACUAUGUCCUCAGCUUUUUCAUACCUGUGAUUGUAAGUGACAGAGCCUCUUUAGAAAGGGCGGAGUAGCUAAUGUUCCAUGUGUGUCUGCUGUGUUUUCCUCUGUCCACUGAUGAACAGUAGCUUGAUUUUGCAUCUUGGUUAUUAAGAGUAAUCGUGCUGUGAAUGUGAAGGAGUAAGUGUCUCCAAAAGACACUGAAUGCUUCAGAACACCUUGAUUCCACUACUGUGGCAAUGUGCUCAGCGAGGGGCAGGCACUGUGGCUCUCCUCUCAUUUUCUAAAGAAGUCGUCAUGCUAGAGCACUAGCUGAUCUUGCAGAGGACCUGACCUUGAUUCCCAGCACCCACAAAUCAGUUGUUAAUCACUUGGUGACCCCACUCUGCUCUACUACUGCCAACUGAACACUCAGAUUGCACUCCGGGGACCCAAAAUAGAGAUGUUCCCGCUCGGUUUCGAACCGAGGACCUCUCGCGUGUGAGGCGAGCGUGAUAACCACUACACUACGGAAACACAACGGGGAGUUGCAAGAUUAGAAGAUGUGGCCCUGUUGGAGUAGGUGUGUCACUGUGGGUGUGGCUUAUAAGACCCUCGUCCUAGCUGCCUAGAAGUCAAUGUUCUCCUAGCAGGGUUCAGAUGAAGAUGUAGAACUCUCAGCGACUCCUGCACCCAUGCCUGCCUGGACUCGGCCAUGUUCCUACCUUGAUGAAUCUCUGAAUCUGUAAGCUCCAAUUAAAUGUCCUUAUAAGAGU